This 93-nucleotide transfer RNA is filed under the name Sphingopyxis sp. Its description in RNAcentral is "tRNA-Ser". It matches the Rfam family "tRNA". From Rfam's summary of the family: Transfer RNA (tRNA) molecules are approximately 80 nucleotides in length. Their secondary structure includes four short double-helical elements and three loops (D, anti-codon, and T loops). Lineage: Bacteria; Pseudomonadati; Pseudomonadota; Alphaproteobacteria; Sphingomonadales; Sphingopyxidaceae. The record is from RNAcentral. RNAcentral also lists the same sequence under 4 other names.
GGAGACGUGGGUGAGUGGCUGAAACCAACGGUUUGCUAAACCGUCGUACGGGUUGAUUCCGUACCGAGGGUUCGAAUCCCUCCGUCUCCGCCA